This 62-nucleotide transfer RNA is filed under the name Nilaparvata bakeri. Its description in RNAcentral is "tRNA-Arg". Lineage: Eukaryota; Metazoa; Arthropoda; Insecta; Hemiptera; Delphacidae. The record is from RNAcentral.
AGUAAAGAAGUAAAAAUACAGUUAAUUUCGACUUAAUUUAAGAGAUAUAUAUCUUCAUACUU